RNAcentral lists this small nuclear RNA (154 nucleotides) under Erpetoichthys calabaricus (reedfish). RNAcentral's name for it is "U1 spliceosomal RNA (ENSECRG00000013435.1)". It matches the Rfam family "U1 spliceosomal RNA". Rfam says of the family: U1 is a small nuclear RNA (snRNA) component of the spliceosome (involved in pre-mRNA splicing). Its 5' end forms complementary base pairs with the 5' splice junction, thus defining the 5' donor site of an intron. Lineage: Eukaryota; Metazoa; Chordata; Cladistia; Polypteriformes; Polypteridae. The record is from Rfam by way of RNAcentral.
AAACCUGGCAGGGGGAGAUAACCAUGAUCAUUAAGGUGGUUCUCCUAGGGCAAGACUCCAUUGCACUGAGGAUGUGCUGGCCCCUGCAAUUUCCUCAAAAAAAAUUGACAGCAUAAUUUGUGGUAGUGGAGGGCUGUUUUGGCACACUCUCGUG